CUCUCUUAGAGGAGUCCAGGGUUUCGGGGCAUACCUAUUGAUGACAGUGAGGAAGUGCUCCUCGGGGAGAAUUUCAUCCUCCUCCUGCUGUAACAGCAUCAUUAUGGAGCUGUCCUCCUCAUCCUCUUCCACCGCACGUUUCUGUUGAAAAAUAUUUCAUUAGACUCUUAUUUGUUUCAGGUUAUAAAAUCAUACAAGAGAGAGAUCUUGCGCUCAACAGAUUCACUACUCAAAACUGUGACUAAUAACUCGCAAAUUCUCUGACAUGAGAGAGUGAUCUUGCGCUCAACAGAUUCACUACUCAAAAAAUGCUUGUACGAGUGAGAUAGAAACACAAAGGAGGCGUGUAUCACAAUUGGCGAACACUGCCGAUACUCCCCAGAGCUUUAGCACGACGAUAACAUUUGAUUCAUUUUCUCACCUCACAACUCGGUCUCAUAAGCAAUUGUGCUCUCGUGAAGGAACCUUACCUGCAUCUAGAAAAUCAU
Long non-coding RNA from Nilaparvata lugens (brown planthopper), 488 nucleotides. RefSeq lists it as uncharacterized. The record is from RefSeq and is a predicted model, not a curated record. The transcript is spliced from 3 exons. NCBI's taxonomy places the organism in Eukaryota, Metazoa, Arthropoda, Insecta, Hemiptera, Delphacidae.